AACGUAGGAGCCAAGCGUUAUCCGAAUUCACUGGGCGUAAAGGGCUCGUAGGCGGCCAACUAAGUCAGACGUGAAAUCCCUCAGCUUAACUGGGGAACUGCGUCUGAUACUGGAUGGCUUGGAUCCGGAAGAGGGAUGCGGAAUUCCAGGUGUAGCGGUGAAAUGCGUAGAUAUCUGGAGGAACACCGGUGGCGAAGGCGGCAUCCUGGGCCGGUAUUGACGCUGAGGAGCGAAAGCCAGGGGAGCAAACGGG
Molecule: ribosomal RNA, 253 nt
Filed under: uncultured bacterium
Lineage: Bacteria
Description: partial 16S ribosomal RNA
Rfam family: Bacterial small subunit ribosomal RNA
Source: RNAcentral